UGCUCUAGAAAAGGAUUUUAGUCCUGCUUAAACCUUAAUAGUUCUUCUAGAAAAUCUGUUUAAAGUUACUCAAAUAAGGUACAGCCUAUUUGAAAAAGGAGACAACCUUUAUUACUGGGUCAAAUAUUUAACUUAUAGAGAAGUAGGCCUAAAAGCAGCCAUCUUAAAUAAAAGCGUCAAAGCUUACCUGCAAACUUAAAUAAUUCCAAUCUUUCCAACCACCCCUUAUUUUUCCACAGAGCAACUCUAUACUUAUAUAGAAAAUUUUAUGUUAAAACUAGUAAUAAGAAAUAGAUUAUUCUCUUUAACGCAAGCUUAUAUCAGCCUGGACACUCCACUGAUAAUUAACGCUCAUAAUAUACGAGUUGAAACAGCACAAGAAAAACCCCCUACCAUUAGCGUUUACCUAACACCAGAGCGUUACAAGAAAGAUUUAAAGAAAAAGAAGGAACUCGGCAAAUAUUAGUCCCGCCUGUUUACCAAAAACAUCGCCUCCUGCAACAUUAAUAGGAGGUCCAGCCUGCCCAGUGACACUGUUCAACGGCCGCGGUAUCCUAACCGUGCGAAGGUAGCGUAAUCACUUGUUCUUUAAUUGAGGACUAGUAUGAAUGGCCCCACGAGGACUACACUGUCUCCUUUUUCUAAUCAAUGAAACUGAUCUCCCCGUGAAGAAGCGGGGAUAGACCUAUAAGACGAGAAGACCCUAUGGAGCUUUAAACAACAAGAAUAUUUGCUUUUUCUACCAUUUUGUAAACAGUUAAUUCAAGCAUCUUAUUUCCCAGUUUUAGGUUGGGGUGACCACGGAGAAAAAACAAACCUCCACGUUGAAAGAAGUCUCUCAUCUUCUAAGCAAAAAGACACAUCUUUAUGCAUCAACACACUGACUCCCAUUGAUCCAAUACUUUGAUCAACGAACCAAGUUACCCUAGGGAUAACAGCGCAAUCUACUUUGAGAGCUCAUAUCGACAAGUAGGUUUACGACCUCGAUGUUGGAUCAGGAUAUCCUAGUGGUGCAGCCGCUACUAACGGUUCGUUUGUUCAACGAUUAAAAUCCU
This 1055-nucleotide ribosomal RNA is filed under the name Andinobates bombetes (Cauca poison frog). RNAcentral describes it as "partial 16S ribosomal RNA". It matches the Rfam family "Bacterial large subunit ribosomal RNA", at positions 854 to 2597 of the family's 2925-position model. The record is from RNAcentral. Lineage: Eukaryota; Metazoa; Chordata; Amphibia; Anura; Dendrobatidae.